Molecule: long non-coding RNA, 5706 nt
Organism: Bactrocera neohumeralis
Lineage: Eukaryota; Metazoa; Arthropoda; Insecta; Diptera; Tephritidae
Exons: 2
Source: RefSeq, a predicted model, not a curated record
GAAAAUUACAUCAAAUCAUCGCGAAAUAAUAAAAAACAUAAAAAAGGAAGACUUAUUAGAUACAGAUUUCCUUAAAUUUUAAACGGCCAGUACAACAAAAACCCUAUUCAAUGGAAUACGAUAACAGAUCAAUUCUCAUAUACAAUUGAGUCAAUAUCUGCAAUGUCCGCUAUAACCAAACGCCAAAAACUUUCCUCGGUGGCAAAACUUUUCGACCCCGCAAGAUGGCUUUCGCCAAUAAUGAUUCAAGCAAAAAAUCCUCAUUCAAGAAUUGUGGCAAGAUGGCACUGAAUGAGAUGAACGGGUAAAACCUGUACGUUUAACAAAAUGGGUUCAAUUUGCUAACAACUUGCAUACUAUAUCAGAUGUCAUUUCGGAUCCCUCGAUGGGUAAAUUUCACCCCUAACAUUAACGCAGAAUUACACGGUUUCUGUGAUGCCUCGGAAAAGGCAUAUUGUGCAACAGUCUACAUAUGCACUCAGUAUGAUAAUAAAAUAUCUGCACACUUCUUGGUAGCCAAAGUCAAAGUUGCACUUUUGAAGACACUCAGUCUGCCACGGCUUAAACUGAAUGGUGUUCUUCUGUUAGCAAAAUUAAUUUCAAUAGUUCAAACCCAUCUCAAAUUAACCGAUCAUAAAACGAAUCUUUGGUCAGACACCGAAAUAGUUUUAGCGUGAGAAAAACCACCCUAUAGCUGGAAGACCUAUGUAUCUAACCGAAUAUUUGAAAUUUUAGACUUAGUUGGCCCAGCAAAAUGACAACAUGCUGCAAGUGCAGAUAACCCAGCGGAUCUUGGGACAAGAGGUUGCAAGCCACAGCACCUCACCAGCACUACACUCUGAUGGAAUGGUCCAACAUGGCUAACAGAAUCACAAGAAUUCUGGCCAAAGUCUCCCGCUCGGAAUAUAAUACCGCCGGAAAAUUGAAAAUUUUCAUAUCACUCCAGAAUAGGAUGAUAUUUUCCACCGAUUUUCUUCAUUUUCUAGAGCACUAAGAGUAGUCGCUUACAUGCUCAAAUUCACCCAAAGACUUAAACAAAAAAUUAAAGGGAUACCAAAUUAUCCUUGCGUACUUGCCAAAGUUAGUCUCAUCACAUACACCCAAACUCGCUAUUUCAGUCGAGAGAAAACAAAGCUGCUCGAAAGACGACCACUCGAAAAGGGAAGCUCUCUUCUCAUCUUAAAUCUAUUCUUGGACAUUAAGGGAUUAAUAAGGGCAAAUGGAAGAUUAGCAAAUUCCAGCCUCAGUUACAACGAACGGCAUCCCAUUAUUAUACUUGAGAAAUCCCGUUUUACUCAUUUAUUUUUAAUAUAUCUUCACCAGCUUACAUUACAUGGUGAGCAUCGCUUGAUGCAGCAAAUGGUCCGACAAGAAUUUUAUAUACCGCGACUAAACCCACAACCACAUCUGAGACAUCAGGAGACUCACGCACUUUAAUAAAUCGAUGGGAAAGAAUCAAGAUUCUCCAUCACGAAUUCAGCCACAGAUGGAAGGAGGACUAUCUUAAAGAUCUCUAUAAAGAGAUAUCCAUGGAAAACGAUCCAGAAGGAACCCAGUACAGGCGAAUGCGUCAUCAUACAGGACGAAUGCCUUCCCCAACCGAAUGGCGAGUAGGCCGCAUUGAAAAGAAAUGGACAUAGAAGACAUCCAAAUUACUCCCAAGACUGUGAAGUCCGCGAUUGCUGCGCCUAGAGCAUCAGCUCCACCCAUCGCCGCACCAAGGACAUUAUUGAGUCCGCCAAGGCAAUCAUCUGCUGCAACACUUAGGGAUACAAAUGAAGAUCCAUUUGAAGAAAAUUUGCUUCCACUAUGCAGCUUAUGCCAUCGUCCUCAUGUUCUUAAGAGGUGCACCAUCUUCAAAAGCAUGAAGCCAGCUCAACGCCAACAGAUCGCCCGCGCACACGGCCAUUGCAUGAAUUGCUUGGCAGACUCCCACACCACAUUCGAAUGCCCAACCGACAGGUCAUGCCAAUAUUGUCAACGCCCUCAUCAUACCCUGUUUCAUCGAUUCCCUCGCCGAGUCAAUCCGCUAGCAAUCCACACAAAUAACAGGCACAGACAACACGAGGAUCCCGUCCAGCGUCGAAGAGUGCACCAUUCCGGGCGCACCAGGGAAGCGCGCUCACGAUCACCUCCGCCAAACUACGGUCAUCGUAAUCAACAGCGCAAACCAACUGGACUGAACGCCGUAGUGAGCACUAGGGUGGGUCGAUUCCGGACUUUUUUCGAUUCGGCAUUUCUAAUAGUGCGGAAAAGUUGCCUUAGUACUUCCUGAUUCCAAUGCAAGUUUUUGUUUUGAGAUCGGAUUGCAUCUUCAACCCCAACUCCGGCCUUGAAAUUUCGGAAAUUCGCCUAAAAUCGUGAAAUUGUCUACCUAGCGCCGGAAAUACGCAUCUCAUGGCAAAAUGUAUAAAACAAAAGUUAUUUGUCACGUCAUUUGCUACCGAAAUGGUACAAGUGAUCAUGGCCGUAGGACGAACCGUUCCUGAGAUACGAGCGAAAAGGCGGCGCGCCACAGCGCAAGGUGAAAAUUGUUGCAGCUCUUAGCUAACCUGUAUUGGUCACCCAGAACCCACCGCGUGGAGAUGGCUGCUCUUCGGUUGCUCAGCAACCGCUUCAACAUCAUUAAAACCCGUUUCGAAAAGCAGCACAAGUCAUCACUAAUCAAGUCGAGAGAACCAGAGACGCCAACGUUCACACUAAGGCACAGAGAGUCAACCAAAUAAAUGAUGGGAUGCGAGAUAUCCAGUCAUUAUACAAUGAGUCACCAAGCGAGUACACCGACCAUAAGCAUUUUUUAUAAGGCGACAUGGCCUACCAACCUUACAGCGCACAUCACCAGAUGGUAUAUACACGGAGUAUAAACUUUUAGACUCAGGCGCAACUAGUAGUUAUAUAAAAAGAGAUUAUCCAUACGCUAAGAGAAUUGCAUUAGAUAAACAUAUAGAAACAAACACGUUACAUGGUGGAUCAAUUAUAACUCACAAAAGAGAAAUAAAUUUAGUUGGACAUGAUUUAAUUUUUAAAGAAAUUGAUAAAUGGCUGACAUCAUCGCCGUCCAAGAAAUGCGAUGGACGCGACAACAGCUGCGGCGAGUAGGUCCUUGUGGCAUUUGAUACAGUGGUCAUAUAAAGCAGCGCGAAUUCGGUGUGGGAUUCGCAAUGGGAGAGAGACUCCAUCACCGAGUAGUGUCAUUCAUCCCCGUGGAUGAACGUCUAGCCACAAUCCGCAUCAUAGCGAAGUUCUUCAAUAUAUCGCUGAUUUGCGCCCAAGUCCUGACGGAAAAGAAAGACGAUGUGACCAAAGAUGCCUUCUAUGAGCGUUUGGAACGCACCUAUGAAAGCUGCCCCCGCCACCAAGUGAAAAUCAUGCUUGGCGACUUAAACGGUAGGAUGGGCAAAUAAAGUAUCUCUGGCGCAACAGUCAGCCUCCACGAGGAAACAUCCCCAAAUGGGUUGAGGCUGAUCGACUUCGCUGGGGCCCGAAAUAUGGUUAUCCAAUAUUCCAGCAUAGAAAAAUUCACCAAGCUACCUGGCUGUCUCCGGAUCGAAAAACCACCAACAGGAUCGAUUAAGGUGUGAUAGACGGAAGACACGUCUUCAGUGUUUUAAACGUGCCAUCGCUCCAAGGUCCUAACAUCGACGAUGCAGGAUGAGAUAAAUACCGAGUGUUGAAGAGGGAAGUGAGACGCAUUUGCAGGCAGAACAAGAAAAAAUGUUAACUUCGGCUGCACCGAAGCUAAUAUACCCUUCACAGGUGCAUUUCUUUUAGUAACUAUGUGCCCAGUUUGUAUGGAAGCUAUAUGCAAUAGUAAUCCGACCUGAACAGUUUUUCGGAGAUUAUAUUGAUACCUUAAGCAGUAAACCAUGUCAAAUUUCGUGAAGAUACCACGUCAAAUGCGAAAGUUUUCCAAACAAGAACUUGAUUCCGAUCGUUCGGUUUGUAUGGCAGCUUUAUGCUGUAGGGAGCCGAUCUGAAUAAUUUCUUCGGAGAUUACAUUGUUGCUUUAGAAAAUAAUCGAUACCAAAUUUGGUGAAUAUACAUUGUCAAAUGUGAACGUUUUCUAUACAAGAACUUGAUUCCGAUCGUACAGUUUAUAUGGUAGCUAUAUGCUAUAGUUAACCGAUCUGACCAAUUUCGACGGAGAUUACAUUGUUGCCCUAGAAAAUAACCUUUAUCAAAUUUGGAGAAGAUACAUUGUCAAAUGUGAAAGUUUUCUAGUUCAGUUUGUAUGGCAGCUAUAUGUUAUAGUGGUCCGAUAUCGGCAGUUCCGACAAAUGACGUUUGCAAAAUUUCAAAACGAUGUUUUAAAAGCUGAGGGACUAGUUCGUAUAUAUACAGACAGACGGAAAUGGCUAAAUCGACUCAGCUCAACAUACUGAUCAUUUAAGUACAUAUAUAUUUUAUAGGGUCUCCGAAACUUCCUUCUGGGUGUUACAAACUUCGUGACAAUUUAAUAUAUUAAAGUAUUCUCAACCUUUUUUGCAACUAUUUCUGUAACCUCUUUACUCCUAGGUUCAUAGUUGUCGCCUCGGAGUCGCUCUAUACGAAAUCUUUCAAACUGAUAACACAAAAGAACAUCCUGGUCAGUAGGUAACUGGGACUCAGAGAGAUUGUACGGAUAUAUGCCAAACACAGGACAUUUCUGUCUAAAUUUAAAUUUAGAUACAGACAUUUUGAGUUCUGUGUUCUGUUGAGAGAAUAUAAGUGAUAGCACUAGGCGAAAUCAACGACAAGAGUGAAGGAACUCGAUGAAAAAAUAUUUAUGUGGAGACCAGUCCGAACGUGUCGUAUGGCGCAGGGAAAUGAAUGUAAGUGAUAGAACUCGGCGAAAUCACCGACAAGAGUGAAGGAACUCGAUGAAAAAAUAUUUGUGUGGAGACCUAUUCGAACGUGUCCUUUGGCAUAGGUGAAUGAAUGUGAGUGAUAGCACUUGGCGAAAUCAACGUCAAGAAGUGUGGCCGCAAGCCGAUUUUCAACUUGCGCUAUGGCGCUCCGCAUUUUCGCUCGUAUCUCGGGAACAGUUCGUCCUAUGGCCAUGAUCACUUAUACCAUUUCGGUAGCAAAUGACGUGACAAAUAACUUUUGUUUUAUACAUUUUGCCAUGAGAUGCGUAUUUCAGGCGCUAGGUAGACAAUUUCACGAUUUUAGGCGAAUUUCCGAAAUUUCAAGGCCGGAGUUGGGGUUGAAGAUGCAAUCCGAACUCAAAACAAAAAGUUGCAUUGGAAUCAGGAAGUACUAAGGCAACUUUUCCACACUAUUAGAAAUCCCGAAUCGAAAAAAGUCCGGAAUCGACCCACCCUAGUGAGCACUCUGCAACGGUUGCAAAGACUUCUAGGCGAUUGCGGUAUUUUGCUAAGUCGCACACAUCCUCCUCGCAGCACUCAUCGACACAACAUGUCAUCCACACAACCACCGCUACACAUCAUACCAACCACACUACACACCAACACUUCGCUUUUUUCACCACCCACAACCGAUACAAAAGGAUUGGUCAGAUCGGAAUGGGCGCUUUUUCGUUUUUCCCGUGACCUCGAAGGUUCCGCCAUCGGUACGUCCGUCGAAGCAACGCUGCGUAAUAUUAGUGAAAUAAAUAACUUUGAGAUUGUUUAAGUGAAAACCAAAGUGGUAUAAUUUUUGUAAAGAAAAAUAACAUUUUGUAGAAUCCAAAUAAGCUUUGAAAAAAAUAAAGAAAUAAAAAUAAAA